Molecule: ribosomal RNA, 253 nt
Filed under: uncultured bacterium
Lineage: Bacteria
Description: partial 16S ribosomal RNA
Rfam family: Bacterial small subunit ribosomal RNA
Source: RNAcentral
UACGUAGGGUGCAAGCGUUAAUCGGAAUUACUGGGCGUAAAGCGUGCGCAGGCGGUGAUGUAAGACAGAUGUGAAAUCCCCGGGCUCAACCUGGGAACUGCAUUUGUGACUGCAUCGCUGGAGUGCGGCAGAGGGGGAUGGAAUUCCGGGUGUAGUGGUGAAAUGCGUAGAGAUCCGGAGGAAUACCAGAGGCGAAGGCGCCUUGCCAGGUCUAGACUGACACUCAGACGCGAAAGCAUGGGGAGCGAACGGG